GUCUACCUAAAUACGUAUUCUGAUAUACCUAUAAGUAAUCACUCAUAAUUUUGUCUUUGAUGUUUAAGAUAUUACAGCCAGGCAAGACAGCUUCACAGACAUGGUAGGAAGAAAUGAUCUGGUGUGAGAAUGGAAGAAGGCCAUAAAUAGUAAGGGUGGUGAUUGAACCUUCCCUGUUUCAUCAAGCCAACCCUCAAGCCACCCUGGUGCCAUCACAGUUGUGACGCUGUCUUGUGGCAGGCAGCAUGUCCAGUUGCAGAAUUUCAGAAUGUAUUGUUGAACAAUGAGGCUUAACUUGCAUUAAAUAAAGACAACUGUGAGUAGGCAAACCCUUCAGACUGGUUAUAUUAUGAGCUGUAGAACUGUUGCCAUUUUUCUGUUCCCCGGUUGUGCCCAUGAAAGAGGUAUGUUCAGGUUGGAGACUCAGGCUCAAAUGGGGGAACAAAGAGCCAAGGACCAAUCUCAGUUUGGUCUGACAGGUGAAUUUUAUCUACUCCCUAAACUCAGCUUUUGUAUCUGAAAGACUCUGAGCGAUACAGAUAGUGACGGGAAAAACCUUUUAGAAAAUAGAAGACAACUUAGUGGUUACUCUGCUAAUGUAGUGGAAGUUGCCAACUGGAAAAUGAAUGCAAAGAAAAACAAUGCAGCUAGAUUGUAUGCCACAAAUUUAUUAUUCAAUAAAUAUUCUGUGGUUUGAUGUACAGUAUCAUAUUUUUAAUAUGCUCUGAUUAGAAAUCUCCUAAAAUAUUCUGGAAGAUUCCAAUACUG
This 768-nucleotide long non-coding RNA is filed under the name Bos taurus (domestic cattle). RNAcentral describes it as "long non-coding RNA NONBTAT026178". Lineage: Eukaryota; Metazoa; Chordata; Mammalia; Artiodactyla; Bovidae. The record is from RNAcentral.